AUUGAACGCUGGCGGCAGGCCUAACACAUGCAAGUCGAGCGGAUGAAGGGAGCUUGCUCCUGGAUUCAGCGGCGGACGGGUGAGUAAUGCCUAGGAAUCUGCCUGGUAGUGGGGGAUAACGUCCGGAAACGGGCGCUAAUACCGCAUACGUCCUGAGGGAGAAAGUGGGGGAUCUUCGGACCUCACGCUAUCAGAUGAGCCUAGGUCGGAUAGCUAGUUGGUGGGGUAAAGGCCUACCAAGGCGACGAUCCGUAACUGGUCUGAGAGGAUGAUCAGUUACACUGGAACUGAGACACGGUCCAGACUCCUACGGGAGGCAGCAGUGGGGAAUAUUGGACAAUGGGCGAAAGCCUGAUCCAGCCAUGCCGCGUGUGUGAAGAAGGUCUUCGGAUUGUAAAGCACUUUAAGUUGGGAGGAAGGGCAGUAAGUUAAUACCUUGCUGUUUUGACGUUACCAACAGAAUAAGCACCGGCUAACUUCGUG
RNAcentral lists this ribosomal RNA (483 nucleotides) under uncultured bacterium. RNAcentral describes it as "partial 16S ribosomal RNA". It matches the Rfam family "Bacterial small subunit ribosomal RNA", at positions 30 to 507 of the family's 1533-position model. The record is from RNAcentral.